RNAcentral lists this ribosomal RNA (176 nucleotides) under Salmonella enterica subsp. enterica serovar Brunei. Its description in RNAcentral is "partial 16S ribosomal RNA". It matches the Rfam family "Bacterial small subunit ribosomal RNA", at positions 1 to 170 of the family's 1533-position model. The record is from RNAcentral. Lineage: Bacteria; Pseudomonadati; Pseudomonadota; Gammaproteobacteria; Enterobacterales; Enterobacteriaceae.
AAAUUGAAGAGUUUGAUCAUGGCUCAGAUUGAACGCUGGCGGCAGGCCUAACACAUGCAAGUUGAACGGUAACAGGAAGCAGCUUGCUGCUUUGCUGACGAGUGGCGGACGGGUGAGUAAUGUCUGGGAAACUGCCUGAUGGAGGGGGAUAACUACUGGAAACGGUGGCUAAUACC